UUGAUAUUUAUGAUUAAGACUGAUGUUGGUUAAAAUUUAACUCAUUGAAGGUAGAAAUAAUAUUAAUGUAGAAUAUCUAUAAACUUGAUUCUGAAAAGCUCAUUUUGUGUGCAGAGCGAUAUGAAUGUGUGUAAUAUUAAAGCGGACCCUAAGGGUUAAUGAGGUACGUAUUUUCUAAAUCAUCAAAGGUCCCCUUAUAUUAGUCCUGUGCUAAUACAGCUUUAUUGACAGCCCACAUACGAAUCUAACUGCUUAUGUGGAAACAGAAGUGGUCUGAAUAGAGGACCCUGAGGAACGCCUGUCAGACUUUACACAAUAAACAAAACUAAAAAGAGAGCUGAUGGAUGCUGCAGGCACAAAGUCCCUUCAACAUCUUUAGUUUACUGUUUCUUUCUCAGAGUGACGCUGGCUGACGGAUCUCAGUGGCUCAUCCAUAAAGGAGGAAACUAUGGCGUCUCCUCUCAGACGGUGGUGACCAACGCUCGACACAUGAGCUCAGACUGGCAGGUUGUUAAAACGGUGGAUUUCCAGGGGACGAAGACAGUAUCUGACUUUGUGGCAGACGGCGGCUCCGACUACAGUCUCAUCUUUGAUAACUGUCACCUGGGAUCUCGUCGGAUGAUAAAACAGUAAAGUUAAAAGAUAUCAUGAAAUGUUGAGGUUGAGUUUAUUUGAUGGACAAAUAAUAAAUGUGACAUUUCGUA
Molecule: non-coding RNA, 704 nt
Organism: Plectropomus leopardus (leopard coralgrouper)
Lineage: Eukaryota; Metazoa; Chordata; Actinopteri; Perciformes; Serranidae
Source: RefSeq, a predicted model, not a curated record